Long non-coding RNA from Echinops telfairi (small Madagascar hedgehog), 1068 nucleotides. RefSeq lists it as uncharacterized. The transcript is spliced from 3 exons. The record is from RefSeq and is a predicted model, not a curated record. NCBI's taxonomy places the organism in Eukaryota, Metazoa, Chordata, Mammalia, Afrosoricida, Tenrecidae.
GAUUGGACAGCUCUGGUCUGGAGAAUCAUCACGACCAGUGGAAGAGGCACCCCAGAGAGCUCCCACUGAUGACCGUCACGAAGCUCCUGAUUGACCGUAAGGGUGACGGCGAUAGCGAGGAGGACCACGAGCACUCCAGGAAUACUCAGACUACUACCAGGGUGCAUCUGGUUCGUGACGAGUGAAAAAUGUCUGUGUUUUCCUGGUCUGGCGGGAUUCCAGCUUCUGCACACGUUACGAUUCUAAUGAAGAAAACUAAGAGGCAACAUCCCUUUCCAGCAGAACACCAGCUUCAUUGAGGAUCCCCCUUGCUAUAGAAGAAGUCGGUUCUGCAUGUCCCAGACUGGAAGUCAUGUAACUGAACUUGCGGGAAGGAAGGAAACCUGAGUGCUGGGGAAAUGGGUAAGCCACAGAACAGUUUUGUGGUGGGCACUGGAGCGGUCUGAAUAGAAAGAGUCCAUGAGAAUUCUUGAGGGCAGAGCCGCGCUGGGCUGACAAGGGGCAGAAGAUAAGGUGGGGAGGUUGGAGAUGAGACCCGUUGUUAAGUCUGAUAUCUCGGGAGGAAGUUGAUGCUCUCUUAGCUCAGUGAGAGAUACCUUUGACUGAGUCCCUGCAAAAGUAAUCCGAAUUCUAUCUAAAGACAGCAUCCUCAGACUAGAUCACAGAGUUUUCUAAGAAUAUGAUCUGUUAAGGUAAUGUCAAUAUAAACUUCCAAUCUGAGAUCACACUAACCAAACAACCCCCGAUAGACAAGAGCCAGGAGGAAAAAGGAACAACAAAGUUAGGUGUUCUAGGGCUGAUUUAUCAGAAUGUUUCAGAGAGAGAAUACCAAAUACAAAUAUGUCAUCGAAACAACUGAAGUUGGAAUCACUAAAAUGAGUCAACAAUAAGAGGUAUCAAAAAUGACAAAACAAGAUUUGAAAAAGAACCAAAUGAUACUUUAUAUUCUUUUCAAAUUUAUUGAAAAUUAAUACCCACACAAUAAAUAUAACACAGUUUGUGGGCAACAAAGAGAAAACAGACCCCAAGAUAGCAUUGGCUUAAGGAUGGAAAGAAGCCAAGAAUGAU